UAUUGCACAAUGGGGGAAACCCUGAUGCAGCGACGCCGCGUGAGUGAAGAAGUAUCUCGGUAUGUAAAGCUCUAUUAGCAGGGAAGAAGAAUUGACUGUACCUGAGUAAGAAGACCCGGCUAACUACGUGCCAGCAGCCGCGGGAAUACGUAGGGGGCAAGCGUUAUCCGGAAUUACUGGGUGUAAAGGGAGGGUAGACGGUGAUGUAAGUCUGGAGUGAAAGGCGGGGGCCCAACCCCCGGACUGCUCUGGAAACUAUGUGACUGGAGUGCAGGAGAGGUGAGCGGAAUUCCUAGUGUAGCGGUGAAAUGCGUAGAUAUUAGGAGGAACACCAGUGGCGAAGGCGGCUCACUGGACUGUAACUGACGUUGAGGCUCGAAAGCGUGGGGAGCAAACAGG
Molecule: ribosomal RNA, 399 nt
Filed under: uncultured bacterium
Lineage: Bacteria
Description: bacterial SSU rRNA
Rfam family: Bacterial small subunit ribosomal RNA
Source: RNAcentral